CUAGCGGCGGACGGGUGAGUAAUGCUUAGGAAUCUGCCUAUUAGUGGGGGACAACAUCUCGAAAGGGAUGCUAAUACCGCAUACGUCCUACGGGAGAAAGCAGGGGUUAUUCUUCGGACCCUUGCGCUUAUAUAGAUGAGCCUAAGUCGGAUUAGCUAGUUGGUGGGGUAAAGGCCUACCAAGGCGACGAUCUGUAGCCGGUUCUGAGAGGAUGAUCCGCCACACUGGAACUGAGACACGGCCCAGACUCCUACGGGAGGCAGCAGUGGGGAAUAUUGGACAAUGGGCGCAAGCCUGAUCCAGCCAUGCCGCGUGUGUGAAGAAGGCCUUAUGGUUGUAAAGCACUUUAAGCGAGGAGGAGGCUACUCUAGUUAAUACCUAGGGAUAGUGGACGUUACUCGCAGAAUAAGCACCGGCUAACUCUGUGCCAGCAGCCGCGGUAAUACAGAGGGUGCAAGCGUUAAUCGGAUUUACUGGGCGUAAAGCGCGCGUAGGCGGCUAAUUAAGUCAAAUGUGAAAUCCCCGAGCUUAACUUGGGAAUUGCAUUCGAUACUGGUUAGCUAGAGUGUGGGAGAGGAUGGUAGAAUUCCAGGUGUAGCGGUGAAAUGCGUAGAGAUCUGGAGGAAUACCGAUGGCGAAGGCAGCCAUCUGGCCUAACACUGACGCUGAGGUGCGAAAGCAUGGGGAGCAAACAGGAUUAGAUACCCUGGUAGUCCAUGCCGUAAACGAUGUCUACUAGCCGUUGGGGCCUUUGAGGCUUUAGUGGCGCAGCUAACGCGAUAAGUAGACCGCCUGGGGAGUACGGUCGCAAGACUAAAACUCAAAUGAAUUGACGGGGGCCCGCACAAGCGGUGGAGCAUGUGGUUUAAUUCGAUGCAACGCGAAGAACCUUACCUGGCCUUGACAUAGUAAGAACUUUCCAGAGAUGGAUUGGUGCCUUCGGGAACUUACAUACAGGUGCUGCAUGGCUGUCGUCAGCUCGUGUCGUGAGAUGUGGGGUUAAGUCCCGCAACGAGCGCAACCCUUUUCCUUAUUUGCCAGCGAGUAAUGUCGGGAACUUUAAGGAUACUGCCAGUGACAAACUGGAGGAAGGCGGGGACGACGUCAAGUCAUCAUGGCCCUUACGGCCAGGGCUACACACGUGCUACAAUGGUCGGUACAAAGGGUUGCUUACACACGCGAUGUUGAUGCUAAUCUCAAAAAGCCGCAUUCGUAAUCCGGAUUGGAGUCUGCAACUGCGACUCCAUGAAGUCGGAAUCGCAUAGUAAU
Molecule: ribosomal RNA, 1269 nt
Filed under: Acinetobacter sp. P4554
Lineage: Bacteria; Pseudomonadati; Pseudomonadota; Gammaproteobacteria; Moraxellales; Moraxellaceae
Description: bacterial SSU rRNA
Rfam family: Bacterial small subunit ribosomal RNA
Source: RNAcentral